RNAcentral lists this ribosomal RNA (253 nucleotides) under uncultured bacterium. RNAcentral describes it as "partial 16S ribosomal RNA". It matches the Rfam family "Bacterial small subunit ribosomal RNA", at positions 524 to 776 of the family's 1533-position model. The record is from RNAcentral.
UACGGAGGAUCCGAGCGUUAUCCGGAUUUAUUGGGUUUAAAGGGAGCGUAGGCGGCCCGUUAAGUCAGGGGUGAAAGACGGUGGCUCAACCAUAGAAUUGCCAUUGAUACUGUUGUUCUUGAAUACUUAUGAAGUGGUUGGAAUAUGUAGUGUAGCGGUGAAAUGCAUAGAUAUUACAUAGAACACCGAUUGCGAAGGCAGAUCACUAAUAAGUCAUUGACGCUGAUGGACGAAAGCGUAGGUAGCGAACAGG